CCCUUAGACGUUCUGGGCCGCACGCGCGCUACACUGACCAGUGCAACAAGCAUCCGUCCUUGGCCGACAGGCUCGGGCAAUCUUUGAACGCUGGUCGUGAUGGGGAUAGACUUUUGCAAUUUUUGGUCUUCUACGAGGAAUUCCUAGUAAACGCAAGUCAUCAACUUGCAUUGAUUACGUCCCUGCCCUUUGUACACACCGCCCGUCGCACCUACCGAUUGAAUGGUCCGGUGAAGCCUCCGGAUUGGCGCGCACCUCGGUGCCGCCGAGAAGUUGGCUAAACCUUACCAUUUAGAGGAAGGUGAAGUCGUAACA
RNAcentral lists this ribosomal RNA (315 nucleotides) under uncultured eukaryote. RNAcentral describes it as "partial 18S ribosomal RNA". It matches the Rfam family "Eukaryotic small subunit ribosomal RNA", at positions 1470 to 1796 of the family's 1831-position model. The record is from RNAcentral.